RNAcentral lists this ribosomal RNA (253 nucleotides) under uncultured bacterium. RNAcentral's name for it is "partial 16S ribosomal RNA". It matches the Rfam family "Bacterial small subunit ribosomal RNA", at positions 524 to 776 of the family's 1533-position model. The record is from RNAcentral.
UACGUAUGGUGCAAGCGUUAUCCGGAUUUACUGGGCGUAAAGGGAGCGCAGGCGGCGCGCCAAGUCUGAUGUGAAACCCCGGGGCUCAACCCCGGGCAUGCAUUGGAAACUGGCGGGCUGGAGUGCCGGAGAGGUAAGCGGAAUUCCUAGUGUAGCGGUGAAAUGCGUAGAUAUUAGGAGGAACACCAGUGGCGAAGGCGGCUUACUGGACUGUUACUGACGUUGAGGCUCGAAAGCGUGGGGAGCAAACAGG